Molecule: ribosomal RNA, 254 nt
Filed under: uncultured bacterium
Lineage: Bacteria
Description: partial 16S ribosomal RNA
Rfam family: Bacterial small subunit ribosomal RNA
Source: RNAcentral
UACAGAGGUCCCAAGCGUUGUUCGGAUUUAUUGGGCGUAAAGGGCGCGUAGGCGGCCACUGCAAGUCAGUUGUGAAAUCUCCGGGCUUAACCCGGAAAGGUCAACUGAUACUGCAGGGCUAGAGUGCAGAAGGGGCAACUGGAAUUCUCGGUGUAGCGGUGAAAUGCGUAGAUAUCGAGGGGAAUACCAGUGGCGAAAGCGGCACCCUAGCGUUAGCCUGACGCUCAUGUGCGAAAGCGUGGGGAGCGAACGGG